RNA transcript from Apus apus (common swift), 2785 nucleotides. It is a transcript of the gene named ADP ribosylation factor like GTPase 9, with no coding region annotated. The transcript has 7 exons. NCBI's taxonomy places the organism in Eukaryota, Metazoa, Chordata, Aves, Apodiformes, Apodidae. The record is from RefSeq and is a predicted model, not a curated record.
GGAGGGCCCGGCUGGGGGCGGGAGGGGGAAGCGCUGCCUGCAGGGCGGCGGGUCCGGCGCUGCGCCAAGGGCGGCAGGGGGAGCUCUGCGGGCCGCGCCCCGCUCUGCCCGCGGGCCGGGCCGGUGCGGGGGCCAUGGGCACCCGCCUGCGCUCCGCCGCGCUGUGCGGGGCAGCGCUGGCCGUGGCGGGCGGUGCGGCCGCUUGGGCCUGGGCCUGCCUGCGGAGGCGCGCCCCGCCGCCCGCCGCCCGCCCCGCUUUCGCCGCCGCCGCCGCCGCCGAGCAGGGUACGGGACACAGCAAGCAGAUCCUGGUGCUGGGCCUGGAUGGGGCCGGGAAGACCAGCGUGCUCCACUCCCUGGCGACUAACCAGGUCAAGCGCAGCAUGGCUCCCACCGAGGGCUUCAAUGCCAUCUGCAUCAACACCGAAGAGUCCCAGAUGGAGUUCCUGGAGAUCGGGGGCAGUGAAUCUCUGCGUUCCUACUGGAAGAUGUACCUGCCCAAAGUGCUGUUGCUCAUCUAUGUCGUGGACUCAGCUGAUCAUGCCCGACUGCCUGUGGCGAAACAGCUGCUUCAUCAGCUGAUCCAGAACAACUCCACCCUGCCGGUGGUGGUUCUGGCCAACAAGCAGGCUUGUGUGGGGAAACCAAGAGACCAUCUGGACCCUCCCGCGGGGUGCUGUGACAGCUCGGCCAUCCCCAAGAACAGUGGCACUGGCCAAGCCCAAAAAAGAUUUUGGCAAGCACCGGUGCAGACCCCUCUUCGUGUACAGCUGUGGGCGGGAAUCAACGAUCUGGGAGCGUCCCCCACUAGCGGAUUUUGGCUUCCCUUCUGAUCGGCUGCUGAAGUUGUCUGAACCUAAACAAGACGCUGCUGCCUACCUGCAGCAAAGGUUUCCCUGUUGGCUCAGAAGGCAAUUGCAAGCCCUCGGAUCCUGGAGCUAGCUAGGGCAAAACCAGUGCAUCCUAACUACGUACCUGUGCGGGAUGCUGAGUGGCCAGUGACAAAGGCAGCACAGCACGCAGUGGCCACACCAAGGCUUGUGGAACUGGCCCAGCCUUGCAAAAGGCCUUCUAUGAACUUUGUUCAACUCAAUCUAGAUGCAUUCACAGUGAAGGAGUCUGCUAUGAAGGCAACUUGUUCUGCAAGGAUCCAAGAGCUGGCUCGUCCCAUUAAGCGUUGAGCUCCCUCAGAAGCACAGCCUGCUGCUCGUGCCAGCUGCCCCCAUCACUCCUUGGAACAUCACCCUCUGUGGGCAGUCCUGUGGCUGGACAACCUGCUUGAGCAUGGCACAGAGGCAGCACCCAGCUGGAACGUUUUCUUACGAGCAGCCACUUUUACUGGGCUUAUCUGGAGGAGUUAAAUAAAGCAGUCAUUCUUUAGAAACAAAGUAGUCACCAGGGAAAAAGAGCAGAAUUUGACCUAAUAGGAAGCCUCUCUCCCUAGGAUGGGUUAUGUCUGGAGUUUGUCACUCGUCUUUUUUCUUUCUUUUUUCCUGUAAUAGCUAAAGAAGUUAUGAAACCACUGCCAGCACAGGAACUGUUCUUACACGUAAAGUGUGGCAAACCAAAGCUGAUGGCACAUAGCAGGUUGAUGCAACACAACUCCUGACCUUGGGUUUCAAAAUUUUUGAUAAAGUUUAGAAUUCAUAGUGACACUCAAAGUUUUGUGCUUGUGACAGAAGUAGAAACACAAAAGGCUGCAAAACUGCAGAUCCAGGGCUGGGUUUGGUAAGGCGUAGAGCUUUAGUACAGACUUUAGAAAUGCUGGGGUGGCAUGUGCAUUGAGUUGCCUGGGCUUUGGGGCCCAUUUUCUCAAAUGCCUGGAGAAUGGGCAGACCCAGCCUUCUGCAUUGCAAUGCUUCUGUGAUACAAGUUACAUAGUUAAAUCUUCAUUCAGUUGUGUGAUGCUGGGCAAAAUAAUGGAGCUCUGCAUUGGGAUUUUUGGAGCCUAACUCAAAAAAAGCAAAGUUCCCCUCAGUGCAUAUUGCAAAGGCUAAGAAGAAAAUAGAUAUUGGUGCCAGACUGCAGAAUAAACUUGAAGCUCCAGUUGGGUCUGAGGGUGAGUCAGUCUGGCAGCUGGACUGCAAGGGAACAACACAGCUUGCAUAGGACAUGGCACACGGAGAUUGCUUUUAUCUGUUUCCUGCCAGCUCAGUAUUUGCACUAGCAACCUAAGCACUGGCAAUGUGCUGGAGAUACUGAGGCAAGCAAGAUGCUGUUCAGCAAGGGUCAAAGGCCAUAAAUGAAAGCAUGUGGCAGUUUCAGUGCCAGUGUUUCUUCAUCUUCCCUGUGUUAAGCUGAUUCCCCUUCCAAAGGAGUAGAGGCAAGUGACCACAAAACAGAUGAGGAUUAAGCAGAGGAUCCACUAAGCGAUUCAAUAAUGCACUAAGCAGAGGAUUUUUUAACCCUUUUGAACAAGGUAGAGUAACUGGGCAAUGGUGCUGGUUAUUUUUUAGCUCAGGCGUUGUCCUGUACUGGGAUGGAUAAGAGUUCAGGCUUUGUGCAAGAGCCCCAGCACAGCUGCAUCCCUCAGGCUUGAGAAUGGCCAGAGGGAGUCUGGAGUCUGCACUCCCCACCCAGUGGGGGAACCUCAGCAUCACCAGCUUCUGCCACCUUGGGGCUCCUGGUGUGCAUGGGGCUGUGUGGGCUGCCAGGGAUGGACCCAUGGGUGCCUUAGAAGAGGAGGUUGUCCAUAUUUGCAGGCUGAGGCAAGAGGGAAAACCAACAGUGCCCACUGAGGCUGCCUUGGAGAAGUGCUGCCCUCCCAGAGGAAGAAGUCUGCCUU